AGCGAACGCUGGCGGCAGGCCUAACACAUGCAAGUCGAACGAACUCUUCGGAGUUAGUGGCGGACGGGUGAGUAACACGUGGGAACGUGCCUUUUGGUUCGGAAUAACUCAGGGAAACUUGUGCUAAUACCGAAUGUGCCCUUCGGGGGAAAGAUUUAUCGCCAUUAGAGCGGCCCGCGUCUGAUUAGCUAGUUGGUGAGGUAACGGCUCACCAAGGCGACGAUCAGUAGCUGGUCUGAGAGGAUGACCAGCCACACUGGGACUGAGACACGGCCCAGGCUCCUACGGGAGGCAGCAGUGGGGAAUCUUGCGCAAUGGGCGAAAGCCUGACGCCGCCAUGCCGCGUGAAUGAUGAAGGUCUUAGGAUUGUAAAAUUCUUUCACCGGGGACGAUAAUGACGGUACCCGGAGAAGAAGCCCCGGCUAACUUCGUG
RNAcentral lists this ribosomal RNA (433 nucleotides) under uncultured bacterium. Its description in RNAcentral is "partial 16S ribosomal RNA". It matches the Rfam family "Bacterial small subunit ribosomal RNA", at positions 29 to 507 of the family's 1533-position model. The record is from RNAcentral.